This 2172-nucleotide long non-coding RNA is filed under the name Homo sapiens (human). RNAcentral describes it as "HSALNT0063490". The record is from RNAcentral. Lineage: Eukaryota; Metazoa; Chordata; Mammalia; Primates; Hominidae.
UUUUUAAAUAGUUAAACAUAUGUUGACAUGAGCUAGAAUAUUUUUCUUUUCAAAUUGUAUUAUAACACAUAUAAAGUCCAGUAAAACAAGUACAAUUUUAUUUAAGAAAUAAAAAUAUAAAGGGGACUUGGUAAACAACUAUAAGAAAUUAUGUAAGGAGAAACAGUAAUAUUAAACUGCUCACAAGUUAGAGCAACAAGCACAGGGUUAGAACAUAUCAAUAGUAAUUGUUUUUUGAAUAAUGAGAAUUAAAAGAAUAAACAUCAGGAAUAGCAGAAGUAAUAGGUGUCUUAAUUAUUACAAAUAAUUAAAUGCUGAAAUUUAUUUUUAUCUCCAAUAAUGUCUUUACAUGUUUGCCAUAAUCUCUCCUUUAUGCAAUAUAAUUGUUACAUUUAAAGGCCAGCAAUUGUCAGAAAUCCAGUCAAAUUAAGGCCAACAUAUAUUUAUAAACCAUUAAUAUGUCAAACAAAGUGUUUUAGGAGAGGUAAAAUUGCCAAAGUAGACAACCUGAAAGAGAAGACAUCUGUUUCCAUGAAUAAACAUUGUCCUAGACAUUGUCUUAGAAGAGAGAAUUAAAAUGACAGACUUGGUUAUUGCUGUGAAACUUAUAAUUUAUAAACAAAAUUCACAAAUUAAAUAACAAUAAUAUAAGAUAUGCUUCCCUAAUUGUAAAAUAGAUCUUUAAAAUACUUUGAUACUGCCUCUCAUUCCCACAUUUCCUCUUUCAAAUAUUCACAAUCCCCUACUCAGCCUACUUGAAUCAGCUAAUUUUAACUUCCGUCUCUCAAAUGGAUUUCACUUAAGCAGGAGAAUAUUCAUUAAUUUUUACACAGCACUCAGGAGGUAAUAGUGAGCAGUACUACUAGAAUUGUUACUUAGGGUUUCACUUUUAAUAUUUGGGUUUUUACCUUUUCCAGUUUCCCAAAUUUUAUUCUCACAUCUAGCAAAUAGAAUUUCCUCUAUUACAGUCUCCAAUUUUUUUUUUUUUUUUGCCUAUUCAGUUAUUUUGUUAUUCAGUAAUUCAGUUAUUUUGGAAAUUGCAACUUGUCCUAACAUAUUUCCCUAACUGAGUACCAGUCUAUGACCCAUAAACCUGUGAUCCAUACACCCUGCUAAGAGUAAAUAAACAUUCCUGAUGGCACUCUAUGUUCUAUUAGAAUUUCUUAAUGCUGUGUCUUGACUUCUGAACUCUAUGAUACUAGCUUUAUAGACACUCUCAAUUUCAUUCAGUUACAUAUCCUAAGACUGCCUGCUGAACUACGAAUCCCUGCAAUCUCUUCUUAUAUGGUGAAUAUCCUAUAUGUCCUACAGAUCUUUCUAAUAUUCAUUGACUUGUGCCCAUCUUUAAUGGCUGUAUCUAUUUUCAGUUCUUGUUUCUCUAUAAGACAUUCCCAUCCCUACCCUUAAAAUGCCUUAUCUGUGUGGACUAAGAUGUAUCAAAGCCAAAUUACAGAACAAAUAAUGAUUAUUAUAUCCCAAGCCUCACUAGGCUAUGGGUGUUGUUUCUGUAAGAUGUUUUCCUAGAUUAAAGACCUUCCAAGGAAGAGAAUCAUUUUAAUCUCUCCAAGUGUCUUCAGAAUAGGCAGCCAAAACACUUAGCUGGGUUGUCAACCUGGUCACAUUAUGGGUAAAAUUAUAGAAAGAAAAAACAAAUAUCCUGGAGAAUUGCUUGCAACUGUAGAAGACAAAAUAAUUAAACUCACCAAAUGGAAUUAAGGUUGCUAAUCAGAUAAUCAUAAAAUAAGGAGAGUAUCCUGGAUUAUCCAAGUUGAUAUAAUGUAAUCACAAUGACCCUUUAAAUGUGAAAGGAGUCAAAGGGUCAGAGUCAGAAUGAUGUGACAUGAGAAAGAUUCUCAACUGUCCAUUGAUAGCUUUCAAAAUGGAGGAAGUGGCCAUGCUCCAAGAAAUGCAGGCAGCCGCUAACAGCUGGAAAACUCAAGAAAAUGCAUUCCCCCUUAGAAGCUCCAGAAGAAAUAUAGUCCUGAAAACACCUUGAUCUUAGCCCGGUGACAUCUAUGUCAGAAUCCUGAUCUCUAGACCAACCAAAAAAAGGCCAGCACCAGAUGGAUUCACAGCCGAAUUCUACCAGCGGUACAAAGAGGAGCUGGUACCAUGAAGGAAUCCUCCAUAACUCAUUUUAUGAGGCCAGCAUCAUCCUGAUACUAAAACCUG